Molecule: ribosomal RNA, 1392 nt
Filed under: metagenome
Description: SSU rRNA
Rfam family: Eukaryotic small subunit ribosomal RNA
Source: RNAcentral
GUUCUGUCUUCGGCCGAGGGGGGAUUCUGCCUACACGGUAUGAGUCUCGUUCCCUUUGGGUGUGCGGUGUCAAAGCCGUGCACUCCUAACGGUCGGACAAGUCCGUCGGAGUGUGGUUAUUGUUGGAAGGGCAACCGACCAAUGAGGCCACCGUAAUCGUUCGGGGUGCCUUUAAUCGGGUGUCUCGGGCGGCCGACAUAGUUUACUUUGAACAAAUUAGAGUGCUCAAAGCAGGUGACUACCGCCUGAAUAGUACAGCAUGGAAUGAUGAAAGAGGACCUCGGUCUGAUUUUGCUGGUCUUUAACGGUCGGGCUUCGGCCCGGCCUAUGCAGACCCGAGGUAAUGGUCAAUAGAGACGGACGGGGGCAUCCGUACUGCGGCGACAGAGGUGAAAUUCUUGGACCGCCGCAAGACGAACGACAGCGAAGGCAUUUGCCGAGAAUGUUUUCCUUGAUCAGGAACGAAAGUUAGAGGUUCGAAGGCGAUCAGAUACCGCCCUAGUUCUAACCAUAAACGAUGCCAACUAGCGAUCCGCCGGUGUUACUCCCAUGACUCGGCGGGCAGCUUCCGGGAAACCAAAGUCUUUGGGUUCCGGGGGAAGUAUGGUUGCAAAGCUGAAACUUAAAGGAAUUGACGGAAGGGCACCACCAGGAGUGGAGCCUGCGGCUUAAUUUGACCCAACACGGGAAACCUCACCAGGCCCGGACACUGGAAGGAUUGACAGAUUGAGAGCUCUUUUUUGAUUCGGUGGGUGGUGGUGCAUGGCCGUUCUUAGUUGGUGGAGCGAUUUGUCUGGUUAAUUCCGAUAACGAACGAGACUCUAGCCUGCUAAAUAGGUGCCGGGUUUUUACAUCUCCUCGCAAGGGGAGAGUGGAGUGUGUGGUUGUCGGGAUCCUGGGCUGUGGUGGUCGUUUAGGCUGCGGGGGGCAACUCUCGUGGUCUGGGCGGCUGUCAUAGUUCACCCGGUGUACGCACACUUCGCGUCCGGCAUUUUUCUUCUUAGAGGGACAAGCGGCGCCCAGCCGCGUGGCAGUGAGCAAUAACAGGUCUGUGAUGCCCUUAGAUGUCCUGGCCGCACGCGCGCUACACUGAAGGAAUCAGCGUGUUAUUCAUCCCUGUCUGAAAAGACCGGGCAACCGCUGAACCUCCUUCGUGGUUGGGAUUGGGGACUGCAAAGAUCCCCAUGAACCAGGAAUCCCUAGUAGGCGCGGGUCACUAGCCCGCGUCGAUUACGUCCCUGCCCUUUGUACACACCGCCCGUCGCUACUACCGAUUGAAUGAUUUAGUGAGAACUUCAGACGGCUAUGUUUGUCCGGGGCAACCCGCGCCGAGCAGGGCUGAAAGAUGUUCAAACUUGAUCCUUUAGAGGAAGUAAAAGUCGUAACAAGGUU